GACGUAGGGCGCGAGCGUUGUCCGGAUUUAUUGGGCGUAAAGAGCUCGUAGGCGGCUUGUCGCGUCGUCCGUGAAAACUUGGGGCUCAACCCCAAGCUUGCGGUCGAUACGGGCAGGCUAGAGUUCGGUAGGGGAGACUGGAAUUCCUGGUGUAGCGGUGAAAUGCGCAGAUAUCAGGAGGAACACCGGUGGCGAAGGCGGGUCUCUGGGCCGAUACUGACGCUGAGGAGCGAAAGCUAGGGGAGCGAACAGG
This 253-nucleotide ribosomal RNA is filed under the name uncultured bacterium. Its description in RNAcentral is "partial 16S ribosomal RNA". It matches the Rfam family "Bacterial small subunit ribosomal RNA", at positions 524 to 776 of the family's 1533-position model. The record is from RNAcentral.